ACGGGAGGCAGCAGUGGGGAAUAUUGCGCAAUGGACGAAAGUCUGACGCAGCAACGCCGCGUGAGGGAUGACGGCCUUCGGGUUGUAAACCUCUUUCAGCAGGGACGAAGCGAGAGUGACGGUACCUGCAGAAGAAGGACCGGCCAACUACGUGCCAGCAGCCGCGGUAAUACGUAGGGUCCGAGCGUUGUCCGGAAUUAUUGGGCGUAAAGGGCUCGUAGGCGGUUCGUCACGUCGGGAGUGAAAACUCGGAGCUUAACUCCGAGCCUGCUUCCGAUACGGGCAGACUAGAGGUAGGCAGGGGAGAGCGGAACUCCUGGUGUAGCGGUGGAAUGCGCAGAUAUCAGGAAGAACACCGGUGGCGAAGGCGGCUCUCUGGGCCUUACCUGACGCUGAGGAGCGAAAGCGUGGGUAGCGAACAGGAUUAGAUACCCUGGUA
This 439-nucleotide ribosomal RNA is filed under the name uncultured Kribbella sp. Its description in RNAcentral is "bacterial SSU rRNA". It matches the Rfam family "Bacterial small subunit ribosomal RNA", at positions 341 to 792 of the family's 1533-position model. Lineage: Bacteria; Bacillati; Actinomycetota; Actinomycetes; Propionibacteriales; Kribbellaceae. The record is from RNAcentral.